This is a long non-coding RNA of Ipomoea nil (Japanese morning glory), 235 nucleotides long. RefSeq lists it as uncharacterized. The transcript is spliced from 2 exons. NCBI's taxonomy places the organism in Eukaryota, Viridiplantae, Streptophyta, Magnoliopsida, Solanales, Convolvulaceae. The record is from RefSeq and is a predicted model, not a curated record.
GUUACUAAAUUAGACUAAUAGCAUACAAGUGUGCGCACAUGCACCUUGUUAAGAAUAAGAUUACCAAGAACUAGAAUUAUCAUUCCGUUAACCAACCAGAUGGUUAGAGAUAUUCAGCAGACCCUUUCAACUGUAAAAAAGCCUUUGAAAUCCACAAACAUAUUAUACUUAUACACUCAAUAUGUCAGUAUAUGUAUUAAAACUAACACUGAUACAAUAGCCUUGUUCCAAAAAA